UAAAAACCACGGGACGAUCUCCGAAAAAACCACUAGAAUAAUAUGAGAGAAUACAAAGAUAUCUUAAUUUGAGUACAAACUCAAAUUACUUCACCACAAUAACUAUGUGAUGGAACCCAAAUAAAACACCCUUCUAUUUGAACUAUCUUUCUCCCUCUCUAUUUUCUAAAGCUUCACAGAAGCUUUUCUCUCCCUUUUUAUUUCCCUCUCUCGGAUGGGAGUUUCUAUUGUUGCUCUUGGUAUUUCAUCCUUCUUCCUUAGCCUCCUUUUAUAGCCAAAUGAGGAGAGAGGUUGGCUAAAUUAUGAGGUAGGUAGAAAAGUAGAAGGUGGAGUGGGUGGGUGAGGAAACAUAAUGAGUGGGAGUGGGUGGAAUUGAUAAUGAGUGGGAGUGGGUGAGGACACCUUUUUAACUAACAA
Molecule: long non-coding RNA, 417 nt
Filed under: Panax ginseng (ginseng)
Lineage: Eukaryota; Viridiplantae; Streptophyta; Magnoliopsida; Apiales; Araliaceae
Description: long non-coding RNA (PGIN_LNC002106)
Source: RNAcentral